Long non-coding RNA from Bactrocera oleae (olive fruit fly), 1415 nucleotides. RefSeq lists it as uncharacterized. NCBI's taxonomy places the organism in Eukaryota, Metazoa, Arthropoda, Insecta, Diptera, Tephritidae. The record is from RefSeq and is a predicted model, not a curated record.
CAUUUUCACAGUAGUUUUGAGCAUAUUUCUGCCAGAUAAUCAUUCAAAAUAUAUUUUUGUGUCUUUUUCAAGGAAGUUUACAUAUUUACAAAAACGGGAAACUUUUGUGUCAUGUAAUUAUUGUUUUUGAUAUUUUAAGAUUAUUUUCCGGACGAAACAUACUUACGACUUAAAUUUAGCAAGAUUCAAAAUCUAGUGCUCUUAUUUUCAAUAUACAUACGCUUCGAUGUACUAUCUGACCCGGACUGGUCCAUAUACCAUAAACAGCGAACGCAAACCAAAUCGAGAAGAAAUGUUUACUAAACUGGUGCAACCUUUUUUUUAUGAUUGACAUUUGGACAAAAGAAGUGAUUUCGCAAAUCUACUUUAACAUGAACACAAGUAUUUGAGUGCCACAAAGUAUUUAGUAAACGUCGUGAAAACAUCGAAAACUGGUCUAAUAAAGAUAACAUCGCUAAAGUAAAAAAAACCGUGCUUGAAAAUCAUGAUGUUGUCACCGGAGAGAAGUAUGUAUAGACCCAGAAAAUUUUGGUUAAUGUUUUGGAUAUGAAGCGUGUUAAUAGCUGUCUUCGAUUCGGCAAGCGUUACUCUCCAGCGAAUCGCACAAACUAUACCAGAUGCUGAAACAUACGGGCGGCACUUGUGGUGCAACCCUGCGCUAAAGUCUUCUGACGGAUGCGCAAUUCAACUGGAACUUGCUUCAAUUCAACUGGAUAACUUUGUUGUUGCUUUCACAUGUAAAUUUUUUGACAUGAGAGCAGAAGCGAGCAGAGAAAUGACCAAUCAAAGACAGCUAAUACUAGAUCGCACCAAAAUACCUGAUUCUUUUGCAAAAAUAACGUCGAGUGGAGAUGAGAGAUGAGGACGCAAAAGAGAUACUUGACACGUCGAAACUGUCUAAUAAUCUAAUGAAUGGCGCUCUAAAAAAUGAGCACUAAAGGCCAUUCCAGUGUUGGUAUACAUGUAUUGGCUCAAAAAGAGCAUAUUUUGAAGAUUUAAAAAGCAAUCUUCCCUAGUUUGUAAACCCUUUUUAUCUGGCUUAAUAGAAGUAAAUGUAAAUUCCAAUCAACAUUAUAAGAAGGUAACUCUGAGUAUCAAUGUUCUGGCAUAAGACAAGAUAGACUUUUCGUAAGCCUCUGUAAGCCAUAAACGCUCAUUAAACUCCACCAGCGCUAAAGUGUUGCUGCGAAAUAGAGAUGCAACAGCGCGGGUCCAUUUAUAUGAAACACACACGAGUGAGGCAAUGGCUGUAAACAGCUGUCAGGAUACCUGUCAGUUGGCUGUCAAGUGCAUGUAAAUGGCAGCUGGCGAUGGCCAGCAAAAACGCGUGCAUGGCAUAUCUUCGGUUACACGCCUCAGGCUGUAUAACGCAGUUUGCAAUAAUAAAAGUGAAAAUAAAUAUGUAAUGAUAUAAA